GGAGGAAUAUUGGACAAUGGGCGAAAGCCUGAUCCAACCAUGCCGCGUGAGUGAUGAAGGCCUUCGGGUUGUAAAGCUCUUUCGACGGGGAAGAUAAUGACCGUACCCGUAGAAGAAGCCACGGCUAAAUUCGUGCCAGCAGCCGCGGUAAUACGAAUGUGGCAAGCGUUGUUCGGAAUCACUGGGCGUAAAGAAUGCGUAGGCGGCUUGACAAGUCAGAAGUGAAAUCCCAGGGCUCAACCCUGGAACU
This 250-nucleotide ribosomal RNA is filed under the name uncultured bacterium. RNAcentral's name for it is "partial 16S ribosomal RNA". It matches the Rfam family "Bacterial small subunit ribosomal RNA", at positions 355 to 622 of the family's 1533-position model. The record is from RNAcentral.